AUUGAACGCUGGCGGCAUGCUUUACACAUGCAAGUCGAACGGUAACAGGCCUUCGGGUGCUGACGAGUGGCGAACGGGUGAGUAAUGCAUCGGAACGUACCCAGAGGUGGGGGAUAACGCAGCGAAAGCUGUGCUAAUACCGCAUGUGAUCUGAGGAUGAAAGCGGGGGACCGAGCAGCAAUGUUUGGCCUCGCGCCUUUGGAGCGGCCGAUGUCGGAUUAGCUAGUUGGUGGGGUAAAGGCCUACCAAGGCGACGAUCCGUAGCUGGUCUGAGAGGACGAACGGCCACGGGGGAAAUGGACAACGCCCAGGACCCCUCGGGGAGGAACAAGGGGGGAAUUUGGGAGAAGGGGCGCAAGCCUGACCCAGCAAUGCCGGGGGGGGAAAGAAGGCCUUCGGGUUGAAACCCGCUUUGGGCAGGAACAAAGGGGUGCCCGCAAAUCCCGGGCGCUAAGGACGUUACCUGAAAAAAAAGCACCGGCAAACUCCGUC
This 492-nucleotide ribosomal RNA is filed under the name uncultured bacterium. RNAcentral's name for it is "partial 16S ribosomal RNA". It matches the Rfam family "Bacterial small subunit ribosomal RNA", at positions 29 to 507 of the family's 1533-position model. The record is from RNAcentral.